RNAcentral lists this ribosomal RNA (498 nucleotides) under uncultured bacterium. RNAcentral's name for it is "partial 16S ribosomal RNA". It matches the Rfam family "Bacterial small subunit ribosomal RNA", at positions 30 to 523 of the family's 1533-position model. The record is from RNAcentral.
AUUGAACGCUGGCGGCAUGCCUUACACAUGCAAGUCGAACGGUAACAGGUCUUCGGAUGCUGACGAGCGGCGAACGGGUGAGUAAUACAUCGGAACGUGCCUAGUAGUGGGGGAUAACUACUCGAAAGAGUGGCUAAUACCGCAUGAGAUCUACGGAUGAAAGCAGGGGAUCGCAAGACCUUGUGCUACUAGAGCGGCCGAUGGCAGAUUAGGUAGUUGGUGGGAUAAAAGCUUACCAAGCCGACGAUCUGUAGCUGGUCUGAGAGGACGAUCAGCCACCCUGGGACUGAGAGACGGCCCAGACUCCUACGGGAGGCAGCAGUGGGGAAUUUUGGACAAUGGGCGCAAGCCUGAUCCAGCAAUGCCGCGUGCAGGAUGAAGGCCUUCGGGUUGUAAACUGCUUUUGUACGGAACGAAAAGCCCUGGGUUAAUACCCUGGGGUCAUGACGGUACCGUAAGAAUAAGCACCGGCUAACUACGUGCCAGCCGCCGCCGUAA